Molecule: ribosomal RNA, 253 nt
Filed under: uncultured bacterium
Lineage: Bacteria
Description: partial 16S ribosomal RNA
Rfam family: Bacterial small subunit ribosomal RNA
Source: RNAcentral
UACGUAGGUGGCAAGCGUUGUCCGGAUUUACUGGGCGUAAAGAGCGCGCAGGCGGUCGUUCAAGUCGCGUGUGAAAGCCCCCGGCUCAACUGGGGAGGGUCACGCGAUACUGAUCGACUCGAAGGCAGGAGAGGGUAGUGGAAUUCCCGGUGUAGUGGUGAAAUGCGUAGAUAUCGGGAGGAACACCAGUGGCGAAGGCGGCAUCCUGGACCGGCAUUGACGCUGAGGCGCGAAAGCCAGGGGAGCAAACGGG